This 496-nucleotide ribosomal RNA is filed under the name uncultured bacterium. Its description in RNAcentral is "partial 16S ribosomal RNA". It matches the Rfam family "Bacterial small subunit ribosomal RNA", at positions 30 to 523 of the family's 1533-position model. The record is from RNAcentral.
AUUGAACGCUGGCGGAAUGCUUUACACAUGCAAGUCGAACGGUAGAGGGGGCAACCCCUCGAGAGUGGCGAACGGGUGAGUAAUAUAUCGGAACGUGCCCAGUCGUGGGGGAUAACGUAGCGAAAGUUACGCUAAUACCGCAUACGAUCUAAGGAUGAAAGCGGGGGAUCGCAAGACCUCGCGCGAUUGGAGCGGCCGAUAUCAGAUUAGGUAGUUGGUGGGGUAAAGGCUCACCAAGCCAACGAUCUGUAGCUGGUCUGAGAGGAGGACCAGCCGCACUGGAACUGAGACACGGGCCAGACUCCUACGGGAUGCAGCAUUGGGGAAUUUUGGACAAUGGACGAAAGUCUGAUCCAGCCAUUCCGCGUGCAGGAUGAAGGCCCUCGGGUUGUAAACUGCUUUUGUACGGAACGAAAAGGUCUCUCUUAAUACGGGGGGCUCAUGACGGUACCGUAAGAAUAAGCACCGGCUAACUACGUGCCAGCCGCCGCCGUAA